GGUGGAGACGGAGCUGUGGAGCUCCAGCCGGCCGUAACCCGGACGUCCUUGUGACACAGGGGGUUCGACUCCCCCCUCCACCA
RNAcentral lists this transfer RNA (83 nucleotides) under Amycolatopsis mongoliensis. RNAcentral's name for it is "Amycolatopsis sp. 4-36 tRNA-Tyr". The record is from RNAcentral. Lineage: Bacteria; Bacillati; Actinomycetota; Actinomycetes; Pseudonocardiales; Pseudonocardiaceae.